GCUGGGUGCGGUGGCGUGAGCCUGUAGACUCAGUUACUUGGCAGGCUGAAGCAGAAGGAUUGCUUGAGCCCAAGAGUUUGUAAACAGCCUGGGCAACAUAGCAAGACGUUGCCUCAA
RNAcentral lists this small RNA (117 nucleotides) under Marmota monax (woodchuck). The record is from RNAcentral. Lineage: Eukaryota; Metazoa; Chordata; Mammalia; Rodentia; Sciuridae.